Molecule: long non-coding RNA, 675 nt
Filed under: Homo sapiens (human)
Lineage: Eukaryota; Metazoa; Chordata; Mammalia; Primates; Hominidae
Description: long non-coding RNA NONHSAT013607.2
Source: RNAcentral
GGCCCGGCUCCUGAGGGCGCCAGCGCGGCCCCGGGGAGCGCGAGGAGCCGGCGAAGCGCGCGGCCUGCCGUUGGCGGCCUGGUCCGCAGCGCCCUGCGCCCACCCGCCCCGGACGUGGGGCCCAAGCCCCCGUGAAGAUGGUGUCCUGGAUGAUCUCCAGAGCCGUGGUCUGGUGUUUGGAAUGCUUUAUCCUGCAUAUUAUUCAUACAAAGCUGUGAAAACAAAAAACGUGAAGGAAUAUUUCGAUGGAUGAUGUACUGGAUUGUUUUUGCUCUCUAUACUGUGAUUGAAACAGUAGCCGAUCAAACAGUUGCUUGUUUCCCCUGUACUAUGAGCUGAAGAUUGCUUUUGUCAUAUGGCUGCUUUCUCCCUAUACCAAAGGAGCAAGUUUAAUAUAUAGAAAAUUCCUUCAUCCACUUCUUUCUUCAAAGGAAAGGAGAUUGAUGAUUAUAUUGUACAAGCAAAGGAACGAGGCUAUGAAACCAUGGUAAACUUUGGACGGCAAGGUUUAAACCUUGCAGCUACUGCUGCUGUUACUGCAGCAGUAAAGGCCAAGGAGCAAUAACUGAACGUUUAAGAAGCUUCAGUAUGCAUGAUUUAACAACUAUCCAAGGUGAUGAGCCUGUGGGACAAAGACCAUACCAACCUCUACCAGAAGCAAAAAAGAAAAGUAAA